CCUACGGGAAGCAGCAGUGAGGAAUAUUGGUCAAUGGGCGUAAGCCUGAACCAGCCAAGUCGCGUGAGUGAUGAAGGUUCUAUGGAUCGUAAACCUCUUUUAUAAGGGAAUAAAGUGCGGGACGUGUCCCGUCUUGUGUGUACCUUAUGAAUAAGGUACGGCUAACUCCGGGCCAGCAGCCGCGGUAAUACGGAGGAUCCGAGCGUUACCCGGAUUUAUUGGGCUUAAAGGGUGCGUAGGCGGCCUUUUAAGUUAGCGGUGAAAGUCUGUGGCUCAACCAUGGAAUUGCGGUUGAAACUGGGAGGCUAGAGUGUGUUAGAGGCAGGCGGAAUGCGUGGUGUAGCGGUGAAAUGCGUAGAUAUCACGCAGAACCCCGAUUGCGAAGGCAGCCUGCCGGGCCAUGACUGACGUUGAUGCACGAAAGCGUGGGGAGCAAACAGGAUUAGAUACCCUAGUAGUC
RNAcentral lists this ribosomal RNA (460 nucleotides) under uncultured bacterium. Its description in RNAcentral is "partial 16S ribosomal RNA". It matches the Rfam family "Bacterial small subunit ribosomal RNA", at positions 338 to 795 of the family's 1533-position model. The record is from RNAcentral.